RNAcentral lists this ribosomal RNA (460 nucleotides) under uncultured bacterium. Its description in RNAcentral is "partial 16S ribosomal RNA". It matches the Rfam family "Bacterial small subunit ribosomal RNA", at positions 338 to 795 of the family's 1533-position model. The record is from RNAcentral.
CCUACGGGUGGCUGCAGUGAGGAAUAUUGGUCAAUGGGCGCUAGCCUGAACCAGCCAAGUAGCGUGAAGGAUGACUGCCCUAUGGGUUGUAAACUUCUUUUAUAUGGGAAUAAAGUGCAGUAUGUAUACUGCUUUGCAUGUACCUUAUGAAUAAGGAUCGGCUAACUCCGUGCCAGCAGCCGCGGUAAUACGGAGGAUCCGAGCGUUAUCCGGAUUUAUUGGGUUUAAAGGGAGCGUAGGCGGGUUGUUAAGUCAGUUGUGAAAGUUUGCGGCUCAACCGUAAAAUUGCAGUUGAUACUGGCAUCCUUGAGUACAGUAGAGGUAGGCGGAAUUCGUGGUGUAGCGGUGAAAUGCUUAGAUAUCACGCAGAACUCCGAUUGCGAAGGCAGCAUACCGGCGCUCAACUGACGCUGAGGCACGAAAGCGUGGGGAUCGAACAGGAUUAGAUACCCCAGUAGUC